GCUGGUGUUUAGGUGGGAGUUCCUAGGAAUUUUAUACUACUGACCACAGAGGCCAAGAGAGAAAGGAAAUAGGAAAAACAGUGUAAAUACCUGGGUGACUAAUGACUUUGCGCAGCUUAGCUGGCUUUUCUGAACAUUUAAGUCUCUUCUGGGGGAAACACCCUGAAAAAUUUUCAGGACCCUGCGUGACAUCGAAGGGGCAGAUUAUGAGUGUUUACUGCAGGCGGUUGGUUUUGUUCACCGACUACCGGGCAGAGAGAUUUUCUGCCGAUCUCUCCAAGCGAUGGACUCCAUUUGCAUGCGUGGUGCAGACAUUUUGCCGAGCACCGGGGUUCCCAGGCCUCCGAUUGUAAAGGAUUGUUAAGGCCACCCCUUCCCUCGUUCACAUGGAUAGCGCCUAAGAGGAUUUAGAAUCAAGUGGGCACAUUUGCACGGCCUUGUUCUGAAGAGGCAGCUGGAGCGCGGGCCGGCCGGCCUGGCGCAGCCAACCGCGGGUCCCGGGGGACCGCAUUGUCCUCCGAGGGGCCGCCACGGGGGCUCCAUUGUGCGCGGAGCAGGCCUUUUUCUCCUGCCCUCUGUCUCCCCCGGGCCUCCUCCCCCGUCCCCCCCCCCCCCCCCCACGCAGACUUUUCUCUCAAGCUGCCCGGAUCCCCCUGCUGCCGCAUUUCCAAUGCAGAGGAGCGGGCAGGGCUUCGGGCUGGCCAUCUGCACGCGGAGAUUGACAGCGGCCCCGGAAGGUUGAAAAGGAAGACAGGAGUUUCUGGAUGUACCUGUCAAGACUAAAUGAUUGUUCAUUUCCUGUGAAUUGGGAAUAACGUAAUCACAUGCAGCUGGGGAGCUAGGCUGUGUUUCUUGCUUUUUCCUCUUCCAGAAGCUGGGUCCCUUACCAGCUGGGAAAUAUUACUGUAUGAACGUGCUGAAAAACUUAAGGGAAAUGAAAAGAACAACAACAUUCUAGAUGUCAGCAAUCAGUUUGAUAGUCUUACCUGUACCAACCUGAGAGGAUUUUAAUAGCAAAAAGAACUGCCUUUUCUGACGUCUACCAAACACAAGAUGAUGAGGAUGACAAUAAUAAAAAAUAUCAAUGCUGCUGGAGCUCCGUGGGGACUCUUCAGAAUGACACAGCACUUACACAUCCAUUAGGUCAUUUCUUUUCCCUCUUCUCUCUCUUAGUGCUUCGAGGCCAGCAGUGAGAGCAUCGUCACUCCAUCUCACAGUUCACUUAUUUAUUUUGCGAGACGGAGAGAGCGAACAAGAGAGGGGCAGAGAGAGAAGG
This is a long non-coding RNA of Felis catus (domestic cat), 1276 nucleotides long. RefSeq lists it as uncharacterized. NCBI's taxonomy places the organism in Eukaryota, Metazoa, Chordata, Mammalia, Carnivora, Felidae. The transcript has 4 exons. The record is from RefSeq and is a predicted model, not a curated record.